Long non-coding RNA from Homo sapiens (human), 2031 nucleotides. Ensembl annotates it as DDX11 antisense RNA 1. Its record names the gene DDX11-AS1. The record is from Ensembl. NCBI's taxonomy places the organism in Eukaryota, Metazoa, Chordata, Mammalia, Primates, Hominidae.
GCAUGCGCACUCCGGGACGCGCGCGAACACGCAGCAGCGAGAAUCUACAGGGGCGUGGUUUGCGCACGCGGGAACUGGGAUCUCAACCCCAGGGCUAGGUGCCUCCUCCCGCUGCUUUCCGCCAGCUGCGGGGUGUGAGAUUAAUCCCCGCCGAUUAGCGCCAGGUGUACUAAGCGCUGGAUGGUUCCCUGACCAGAUGAAACAUCAGCCGAUGUUCUAAUGCCGGUCCCCUGGGCGCUGUCCCCGAGAGGGAAAACCUGUUUUCUGACCCCGGCUCUAGUCGGCCUCUGGAGGUCUGCAGCUGGGUUAUUUUACCUUUGAAACGGACGACACCUGCCCCGUGCACCCCAGCGGCUCCUCCACACGGAGAGAUGGUGUCAGUCAAAGGCCGUCUAGAUGACGAGUUUAUGAAAUUGUUCCUGGCCCGUGCCGGGCACGACCUUGCAGAGAGCCCAGAAGAUGAAACCCCAGCCCUGCCAGGAGCUCACCUGCUAAUUAGGAGGACAACGAAUCACCUCACCUCCCUAGACUUUGCUUCUCCUUUAUUCAGUGAGGGAUUGGACUAGCUGGUCCUUGAGGACUUUUCAGAAAGUCUGGUUCUGGGAGAUGACCAAUGGGAUCAUCUUAUGCUAUGAGCUUUCCUGGAAUGACAGGUAAUGGAGAGUGAGGAGAUUUUACCUGAUAUGGUCCUGUUUGCACCAUCAGCCAGCAACCUUUCUGGGAAGCGUGCUUAUUAUGUACCAACAUAAAAGCUUGAAUAUAAGGAAUCUCACAUCUUCUGCCAGCAUCCUGAAACUAUGGCAGACUCACUUGUUAACUUUGCAAAUAAGGUCAAAUUUCAGAACCUUCACAGCUCCUGAUAGUCACCGUGUAAUAGAAGAUUAAAAGACAAGCUCAGCUCUUGUUCCAGUCAGCCUCAUUCCUCUGCCUACAAUACAAAAGUCACUCAAUCAUAUUCUUGUCUUAAAUUGAACAGUCCUUACAUGGUUAAGAAAAGGAGAAAUUCAUUGUAAGGAAUGUUUACAUUUUGUUUAUAAUUCCUGCAAGUGUAAUGUUUCAAAAGGUUUUCCUGUGGCUGAAGUACAUUUACCCUGUGUAGCUCUAGAGAAAUGAACUUACAAACUGAAAAAUUUCAGCUCAGUAUAUAAAGAAAAACAGAUUUUCACAAUUAGAUCUAUCCCAAAGAGAAUAAAUUUUGAGGUGAUAAGCUCACUGCUGGCUUAGAUCAUCACUUAUGGGACCUCUAAUGGGGCAGGGAUCAGACUAGAUGUGUACAAAGAUCUCUUCCAACUGAAGCUGCUACUGUGGAGGACGUUGUUUUCAGUGGACUCUCUAAUCAGAUUUAUUUUCAUACCAAGAAAUGAAGAAGGUGAGCUGGGGGAUGCAGCUGGGACUCAGAAGACUGCACGUGAUAGACUCAUGAGCUGAAGAUCUCGUGCUUAGUCUGGAGAAGCUCAUCAAGUCUAGCUCACUUUGGAGUAAGUUGGUGCUGGAGAAUGAAUUCAUGCUAACCAAAUUCACCAAGAGCCUGAUUUACAAAUGAGAGAGCCAAGGCCUUAAGUUUAGAGCAAAAGACAAACUUCCAAUGACUUUAGUUUUCUUGUCCAAUAUCUAGGGCACCUUCCCCUCUCCACCUGCUGUGUACACAGGAGAAAUAAUCACUCCACACCCGACUGAACAUUUUCUAACCUUAUCACUGUGGCAGAAACUGGCUACUCUUCCUCCUGGGUAGACAGCCAGGCUGUAUUUCCCCGCUGCCCCUGCAGUGAGAGGUAGCCAUUGGAGCCGGCGCAGGCCAAUGGACUCUGCACUGGAGUGACACAUGCUGCUUCCAGGCCUGUCCCUCAAACCUCCCACAUGUCCUCUGUCUGCUCUUCUCACUUCCAAGGAGUGUGACCAUCGUGGAAGCCCCAGGUUAGCAAUGGCAGAUUGGGAGGCAUCGAUGGGAGGAACCUGGGUCCCUGACUUAAAGCAUCAUGGAUUUGGACUUUCCGUUAUUGAGAAAUAAACUUCCAUUGUGUUUAAGCCUUU